AUUUAAAUAGUUUAUUAUUAAAAUAUUGAAUUGUGAUUUCAAAGAAGUAUAUUUACUUUAAAUU
This 64-nucleotide transfer RNA is filed under the name Sphecodes ephippius. RNAcentral's name for it is "tRNA-His". The record is from RNAcentral. Lineage: Eukaryota; Metazoa; Arthropoda; Insecta; Hymenoptera; Halictidae.